UGGGGAAUUUUGGACAAUGGGCGCAAGCCUGAUCCAGCAAUGCCGCGUGCAGGAUGAAGGCCUUCGGGUUGUAAACUGCUUUUGUACGGAGCGAAAAGGCUUCCACUAAUACUGGGGGCUCAUGACGGUACCGUAAGAAUAAGCACCGGCUAACUACGUGCCAGCAGCCGCGGUAAUACGUAGGGUGCAAGCGCUAAUCGGAAUUACUGGGCGUAAAGCGUGCGCAGGCGGUCUUGUAAGACAGGUGUGAAAUCCCCGGGCUUAACCUGGGAACUGCACUUGUGACUGCAAGGCUGGAGUACGGCAGAGGGGGAUGGAAUUCCGCGUGUAGCAGUGAAAUGCGUAGAUAUGCGGAGGAACACCGAUGGCGAAGGCAAUCCCCUGGGCCUGUACUGACGCUCAUGCACGAAAGCGUGGGGAGCAAACAGGAUUAGAUACCCUGGUAGUCCACGCCCUAAACGAUGUCAACUGGUUGUUGGGUCUUCACUGACUCAGUAACGAAGCUAACGCGUGAAGUUGACCGCCUGGGGAGUACGGCCGCAAGGUUG
This 548-nucleotide ribosomal RNA is filed under the name uncultured bacterium. RNAcentral's name for it is "bacterial SSU rRNA". It matches the Rfam family "Bacterial small subunit ribosomal RNA", at positions 355 to 896 of the family's 1533-position model. The record is from RNAcentral.